RNAcentral lists this long non-coding RNA (823 nucleotides) under Homo sapiens (human). RNAcentral describes it as "HSALNT0298278". The record is from RNAcentral. Lineage: Eukaryota; Metazoa; Chordata; Mammalia; Primates; Hominidae.
CUCAGAGGUGAACCCCUGCCUCAUUCUGUUACCCAGGGAAUCAUCCCUUAAACUUCUGGUGACUCUGAACUGUUUAUAAAUCCCUGGACAUCCCAUUCUCUUUCAUUCUGCCUGAUAUUGUUUCCUUUACCUGACUACAUCCUUCAAUCGAUAUAUCUAGAUAACAUCUACAUAAUCUAGAUCUCAAUACUUACCUCAAAUACUGUCUCUUCCAGAGGGUCUUUGAGGAGGGCUGCAUGCUCCUAAUUUGUGCCUCUGCAGUAAUUUGUUCCUCACUCUAUCAAAGACAUAUCAUAUUACAUUGAAGUAAUCUGUCUCCUCAACUAGCCUGGAUGUCAUAAUGCCCAGGGCUUGCGUCUGAUUAAUUGUAUGUCAUUUAUAUGCCCUUCCUUGGAGAAGACACUCAGUAAUCCUAUAUUAAUCUCUUUUUUGAGGCUUGAAAAGUGGAGUACGGCUUCUGCAUUUCUAUACAACAUUAAGUUUCAAAGGACAGAUGAAAGCAGAAGAGCCAUAGAAGAAGGCUCUAGGUGCUCAGUUACUGCUACAUCUUUACCAUCCUGCACGCCUCUUUUACUUAUGGCUAGAUUCCCGCUAACAAAUGUUGGAUAAGAAACACUGUCUGAAUCACAAGAACAGAGAGGUUAGGAGAAAUAGUUUUGCUCACUCCUUCCAUGUGGUGAAACAUCUACUAAUGCAAUACUCCAGUCCUCUCUCUAUCCUUACUCACAUGAAAAUGCAAUGGUUCGAUUUGUAAAGGUAAAUAAACAGAUGUGUUAUUUUGCAUGUAUCUACAUUAUACUUGAUAUUUGAAAUCUGCCGUCAA